Molecule: ribosomal RNA, 517 nt
Filed under: Fusarium sp. CHJ1B
Lineage: Eukaryota; Fungi; Ascomycota; Sordariomycetes; Hypocreales; Nectriaceae
Description: eukaryotic LSU rRNA
Rfam family: 5.8S ribosomal RNA (bases 149-302)
Source: RNAcentral
GGGGCUUCGAGUCACUCCAAACCCCUGUGACAUACCAAUUGUUGCCUCGGCGGAUCAGCCCGCUCCCGGUAAAACGGGACGGCCCGCCAGAGGACCCCUAAACUCUGUUUCUAUAUGUAACUUCUGAGUAAAACCAUAAAUAAAUCAAAACUUUCAACAACGGAUCUCUUGGUUCUGGCAUCGAUGAAGAACGCAGCAAAAUGCGAUAAGUAAUGUGAAUUGCAGAAUUCAGUGAAUCAUCGAAUCUUUGAACGCACAUUGCGCCCGCCAGUAUUCUGGCGGGCAUGCCUGUUCGAGCGUCAUUUCAACCCUCAAGCCCCCGGGUUUGGUGUUGGGGAUCGGCGAGCCCUUGCGGCAAGCCGGCCCCGAAAUCUAGUGGCGGUCUCGCUGCAGCUUCCAUUGCGUAGUAGUAAAACCCUCGCAACUGGUACGCGGCGCGGCCAAGCCGUUAAACCCCCAACUUCUGAAUGUUGACCUCGGAUCAGGUAGGAAUACCCGCUGAACUUAAGCAUAUCAA